RNAcentral lists this ribosomal RNA (1647 nucleotides) under Triticum aestivum (bread wheat). RNAcentral's name for it is "partial small subunit ribosomal RNA". Lineage: Eukaryota; Viridiplantae; Streptophyta; Magnoliopsida; Poales; Poaceae. The record is from RNAcentral.
GAUCCUAGACCACAUGUGCGUUCUCUUUUCUUUCACAUCAUACUAGAACAAAGUUCCCUCCUAGCUAGUCUCUCAUGCGCAUGCUUGACCCUUCCGCUGUUCACCGGCGACUGAACACCCGGGGCGUAAGAUAGAGUCCGAGGAACCGGUAAAGAGACCUGAGACCGCUGCCGUCAGGGCUUCAAACUAUAUUUUCCGUCUUUCAGCGUGGGAACGUGCGGAGAAGCUUGUCUUUGACCGUACCGAAGGAGACGGAGGCAGAGGCAGAGGCCCUCUCCUCCUCCGAAGGAGAAUGGCCGGCGCCACGACGAUCGCCACCGCCACUAUGUGCGCGCCCCCCGAGGGCGCCGCGGCACGCAAGGCGCCCACAAGUCGAAGCCCCUGAGCGACCGCCUGUGCCCGUUGAAGGGGAAGGAGAUGCCGUUGCUGAGGGCGCUCGGGCGCGAGUCCUGCGGGAUGCCCCUCUGUAAGAAGGCGGCGCGGUGGCCGGCGAAGAGGCUGCCGGCGGAGUAGCAGCUGAAGUAGCGCCUGUGCUACCCCGACGGCAAGCACGCCGGCAUGGACUCGCCCGCUUGGCGCCUCCUGAAGCGCAGGCCCCGGUUGAAGCGCCAGCCGCCGCGGUACCGCGACCCGGGCCUGAAGAAAGCCCCCUCUCCCCACGGGUACCCGCUGGCGUACGUGGAACCGCAGCUCUACUUUACCAAGGUGCUGGACGAGCUAGACGAGACGGGGCGGCUGGCCCGACUAACGUACCCGUACUACUUAGUUAGAGAGAAGAACCAACCUCUUUAACCCCCGUUACUAAUGUUGUAUGGAGAAGAGAGAUCCCAAGGGAAACUCUUCUAAGCGUGCAAGUGAGGCUCACAACAACGGUUUUAAAGAAGAUGUCAGUGACUCAACUAACCAGACCCUCGGUUUUGUAACCAUCAAGGACCAUUGGAGGGGUAGCCCACGCAAGGCUUGAUGGACUACUAUAAGUUCUCACUGUUCUUCCUUCUAAUACUCGGUCUCUGACCAACGGAUGCCACCUACUUGCUUAAGAGCUUCAUGGUGUUGUCUGAAGAGUAACUACUCAACCUUUUCAACGCGUUCGAAGUAGGACCGCACAGUUAUUAGAUACGGCUAAUGAUACCUCGACGAUACCUCUAGAUGGCAAGGGGCCUUGUUAAACCCUAGCUAGUGGGAAAUCGUCGUACGACGCCACCUCCUCCUGGGAUACCACACAGGUACUGACGUUCUACACCUAUACCUCUUAUGUUCCACACACUACUAGGUGUUUUCAUACCUAGUACCCUACCAAAGGUAGGGAGUCUUCGACGUAUAUUCCCGUAGCGUUAACCGGAAGAUUCUCCUUGUAUGUGUGUCGGAAGUUAAAGAUGGUGGUAGUCAAGUACGGGUGUUGAAUGACUUGAGCCGAGGAGGCAACUUAUGUUCUUGACGCCAUGACAAGAUGUGGAGUGCCAACAACGAGUUCACUAACCGACCGAAAAUAAAAAGCAAGUGAAAAAUAUCGUGUCCCAGGAAAAAAGGGGGACAACAAAUUCUCCUUCAUUUGUGUGGCCAACGAGUAGAACCGACGAACCGAUCGCGCCGACUUUACAACCAAGAAGAUAACGACGAAACCAUUGAGUAUAAUAAUGAAACAGU